RNAcentral lists this ribosomal RNA (454 nucleotides) under uncultured bacterium. Its description in RNAcentral is "bacterial SSU rRNA". It matches the Rfam family "Bacterial small subunit ribosomal RNA", at positions 29 to 526 of the family's 1533-position model. The record is from RNAcentral.
AACGAACGCUGGCGGCAGGCUUAACACAUGCAAGUCGAGCGCAUCCUUCGGGGUGAGCGGCGGACGGGUUAGUAACGCGUGGGAACGUGCCCUCUUCUACGGAACAGCCUCGGGAAACUGAGAUUAAUACCGUAUACGUCCCGUAAGGGAGAAAGAUUUAUCGGAGGAGGAUCGGCCCGCGUUGGAUUAGGUAGUUGGUGGGGUAAUGGCCUACCAAGCCGACGAUCCAUAGCUGGUUUGAGAGGAUGAUCAGCAACACUGGGACUGAGACACGGCCCAGACUCCUACGGGAGGCAGCAGUGGGGAAUCUUGGACAAUGGGGGAAACCCUGAUCCAGCCAUGCCGCGUGGACGAUGAAGGCCUUAGGGUUGUAAAGUCCUUUCGCCAGGGAAGAUAAUGACGGUACCUGGUAAAGAAGCCCCGGCUAACUCCGUGCCAGCCGCCGCCGUAACAC